GAAUUAUCAAGAGCGCGGCGAGAUCCCCACCAAAAAAGAAAUUUGAUGGGGGCGCGAGUACCGACUCGAUGACCCGCCGGCAACCGCCAAAAAGUAUUUUGGAAAGGUGCCACCUUCGGCCCGCAAGGGAAAGAUAAUGG
This 140-nucleotide non-coding RNA is filed under the name Candidatus Sungiibacteriota. Its description in RNAcentral is "Candidatus Sungbacteria SAM-I sequence". It matches the Rfam family "SAM riboswitch aptamer (S box leader)". From Rfam's summary of the family: The SAM riboswitch is found upstream of a number of genes which code for proteins involved in methionine or cysteine biosynthesis in Gram-positive bacteria. The SAM riboswitch acts at the level of transcription termination control. The record is from RNAcentral.